CAUGUGCACGCCUUGUCAUCUUUAUAUCUCCACCUGUGCACCUUUUGUAGGCCCUGGAUAUCUUUCCAUGGUCUAUGUUGCUUCUUCAUAUACCCCAAUGUAUGUUAAUAGAAUGUUUGUGCCUAUAAAAUCUAUACAACUUUCAGCAACGGAUCUCUUGGCUCUCGCAUCGAUGAAGAACGCAGCGAAAUGCGAUAAGUAAUGUGAAUUGCAGAAUUCAGUGAAUCAUCGAAUCUUUGAACGCACCUUGCGCUCCUUGGUAUUCCGAGGAGCAUGCCUGUUUGAGUGUCAUUAAUAUAUAUCAACCACUUCUUGUUGAGUGGCUUGGAUGUGGGCGUUUUUUGCUGGCCUCUCGAAGGGUCAGCUCCCCUGAAAUGCAUUAGCAGAACCAACCUGUUCAUUGGUGUGAUAACUAUCUACGCUAUUGAAAGGUGAAGUCAGUUCAGCU
RNAcentral lists this ribosomal RNA (448 nucleotides) under Cortinarius isabellinus. RNAcentral describes it as "eukaryotic LSU rRNA". The stretch from base 138 to 291 matches the Rfam family "5.8S ribosomal RNA". Lineage: Eukaryota; Fungi; Basidiomycota; Agaricomycetes; Agaricales; Cortinariaceae. The record is from RNAcentral.